RNAcentral lists this ribosomal RNA (673 nucleotides) under Salmonella enterica. Its description in RNAcentral is "partial 23S ribosomal RNA". It matches the Rfam family "Bacterial large subunit ribosomal RNA", at positions 2130 to 2802 of the family's 2925-position model. The record is from RNAcentral. Lineage: Bacteria; Pseudomonadati; Pseudomonadota; Gammaproteobacteria; Enterobacterales; Enterobacteriaceae.
CUUGAUGUGUAGGAUAGGUGGGAGGCUUUGAAGCGUGGACGCCAGUCUGCGUGGAGCCGACCUUGAAAUACCACCCUUUAAUGUUUGAUGUUCUAACGUGGACCCGUUACCCGGGUUGCGGACAGUGUCUGGUGGGUAGUUUGACUGGGGCGGUCUCCUCCUAAAGAGUAACGGAGGAGCACGAAGGUUGGCUAAUCCUGGUCGGACAUCAGGAGGUUAGUGCAAUGGCAUAAGCCAGCUUGACUGCGAGCGUGACGGCGCGAGCAGGUGCGAAAGCAGGUCAUAGUGAUCCGGUGGUUCUGAAUGGAAGGGCCAUCGCUCAACGGAUAAAAGGUACUCCGGGGAUAACAGGCUGAUACCGCCCAAGAGUUCAUAUCGACGGCGGUGUUUGGCACCUCGAUGUCGGCUCAUCACAUCCUGGGGCUGAAGUAGGUCCCAAGGGUAUGGCUGUUCGCCAUUUAAAGUGGUACGCGAGCUGGGUUUAGAACGUCGUGAGACAGUUCGGUCCCUAUCUGCCGUGGGCGCUGGAGAACUGAGGGGGGCUGCUCCUAGUACGAGAGGACCGGAGUGGACGCAUCACUGGUGUUCGGGUUGUCAUGCCAAUGGCACUGCCCGGUAGCUAAAUGCGGAAGAGAUAAGUGCUGAAAGCAUCUAAGCACGAAACUUGCCCCGA